Long non-coding RNA from Bombus terrestris (buff-tailed bumblebee), 28069 nucleotides. RefSeq lists it as uncharacterized. The transcript is spliced from 2 exons. The record is from RefSeq and is a predicted model, not a curated record. Lineage: Eukaryota; Metazoa; Arthropoda; Insecta; Hymenoptera; Apidae.
AUAGAAAUUCUAUGCAAUCGACUGGAAAACGUUGUUGAGUGUGUCUUCCAACAUUCUUUUGAGGCACAUUUCCAUUGGGGUUGCACCGCUUUUUCAACACUUCACCCUUGAUGCAGGCAGAACUUUAAAUCGGUUUAAAAGUGCGAAGAAAUGCAUCACUUCGUGGCGGUUCCCUUCCUUUUCUUUAUCUUGUACGUUUGUCUGCAUCUUGGUUCCUUGUAUGCACGUGCAUCGAGCAAAACGAGUUCUAAAGUAUAAAUUCCCGAAACUUCGGAUUGCGAUAAGACGGAUUGAAAUUAUAUGCAAUCGACUGGAAAACGUUGUUGAGUGUGUCUUCCAACAUUCUUUCGAGGCACAUUUCCAUUGGGGUUGCACCGCUUUUUCAACACUUCACCCUUGAUGCAGGCAGAACUUUAAAUCGGUUUAAAAGUGCGAAGAAAUGCAUCACUUCGUGGCGGUUCCCUUCCUUUUCUUUAUAUUGUACGUUUGUCUGCAUCUUGGUUCCUUGUAUGCACGUGCAUCGAGCAAAACGAGUUCUAAAUUAGCAAUUCUCGAAACGUCGGAUUGCGAUAAGACGGAUUGAAAUUAUAUGCAACCGACUGGAAAACGUUGUUGAGUGUGUCUUCCAACAUUCUUUUGAGGCACAUUUCCAUUGGGGUUGCACCGCUUUUUCAACACUUCACCCUUGAUGCAGGCAGAACUUUAAAUCGGUUGAAAAGUGUGGAGAAAUGCAACACUUCGUGGCGUUCCCUUCCUUUUCCUUACCUUGUACAUUUGUCUGCAUCUUGGUUCUUUGUAUUCACGUGCAUCGAGCAAAACGAGUUCUGGUAGGAACAGUACAGUUGACUGAAUUUCGGAAGGGCGGAUAAAAUUUCUAUGCAAUCGACUGAGAAACGUUGUUGCGUAUAUCCUCCAACAUUCUUUCGAGACACAUUUCCAUAGAUGCUGCACCGCGUUUUCAACAUUUCACCCUUGAUGCAGACAGAACUUUAAUUCGACUUAAAAGUGCGAAGAAAUGCAUCACUUCGUGGCGGUUCACUUCCUUUUCUUUAUCUUGUACGUCUGUCUGCAUCUUGGUUCCUUGUAUGCACGUGCAUCGAGCAAAACGAGUUCUAAAGUAAAAAUUCCCGAAAGUUCGGCUUGCGAUAAGACGGAUUGAAAUUAUAUGCAACCGACUGAGAAACGUUGUUGAGUGUGUCUUCCAACAUUCUUUCGAGGCACAUUUCCAUAGGUGUUGUACCGCGUUUUCAACAUUUCACCCUUGAUGCAGACAGAACUUUAAUUCGACUUAAAAGUGCGAAGAAAUGCAUCACUUCGUGGCGUUCCCUUCCUUUUCUUUAUCUUGUACAUUUGUCUGCAUCUUGAUUCCUUGUAUUCACGUGCAUCGAGCAAAACGAGUUCUACAUUAGCAAAUGAGCAAACUCCGGAAUGCAAUUAGACGGAUAGAAAUUCUAUGCAAUCGACUGCAAAACGUUGUUGAGUGUGUCUUCCAACAUUCUUUUGAGGCACAUUUCCAUUGGGGUUGCACCGCGUUUUUAACAUUUCACCCUUGAUGCAGACAGAAUUUUAAUUCGACUUAAAAGUGCGAAGAAAUGCAUCACUUCGUGGCGGUUCCCUUCCUUUUCUUUAUCUUGUACGUCUGUCUGCAUCUUGGUUCCUUGUAUGCACGUGCAUCGAGCAAAACGAGUUCUAAACUAGCAAUUCCCGAAACAUCGGAUUGCGAUAAGACGGAUUGAAAUUAUAUGCAACCGACUGAGAAACGUUGUUGAGUGUGUCUUCCAACAUUCUUUCGAGGCACAUUUCCAUAGGCGUUGUACCGCGUUUUCAACAUUUCACCCUUGAUGCAGACAGAACUUUAAUUCGACUUAAAAGUGCGAAGAAGUGCAUCACUUCGUGGCGUUCCCUUCCUUUUCCUUACCUUGUACAUUUGUCUGCAUCUUGGUUCUUUGUAUUCACGUGUAUCGAGCAAAACGAGUUCUGGUAGGGACAGUACAGUUGACUGAAUUUCGGAAGGGCGGAUAAAAUUUCUAUGCAAUCGACUGAGAAACGUUGUUGCGUAUAUCCUCCAACAUUCUUUCGAGACACAUUUCCAUAGAUGCUGCACCGCGUUUUCAACAUUUCGCCCUUGAUGCAGACAGAACUUUAAUUCGACUUAAAAGUGCGAAGAAAUGCAUCACUUCGUGGCGUUCCCUUCCUUUUCUUUAUCUUGUACAUUUGUCUGCAUCUUGAUUCCUUGUAUUCACGUGCAUCGAGCAAAACGAGUUCUACAUUAGCAAAUGAGCAAACUCCGGAAUGCAAUUAGACGGAUAGAAAUUCUAUGCAAUCGACUGGAAAACGUUGUUGAGUGUGUCUUCCAACAUUCUUUUGAGGCACAUUUCCAUUGGGGUUGCACCGCUUUUUCAACACUUCACCCUUGAUGCAGGCAGAACCUUAAUUCGACUUAAAAGUGCGAAGAAAUGCAUCACUUCGUGGCGGUUCCCUUCCUUUUCUUUAUCUUGUACGUUUUUCUGCAUCUUGGUUCCUUGUAUGCACGUGCAUCGAGCAAAACGAGUUCUAAAUUAGCAAUUCUCGAAACGUCGGAUUGCGAUAAGACGGAUUGAAAUUAUAUGCAACCGACUGAGAAACGUUGUUGAGUGUGCCUUCCAACAUUCUUUUGAGGCACAUUUCCAUAGAUGCUGCACCGCGUUUUCAACACUUCACCCUUGAUGCAGGCAGAACUUUAAAUCGGUUUAAAAGUGUGGAGAAAUGCAACACUUCGUGGCGUUCCCUUCCUUUUCCUUACCUUGUACAUUUGUCUGCAUCUUGGUUCUUUGUAUUCACGUGUAUCGAGCAAAACGAGUUCUGGUAGGGACAGUACAGUUGACUGAAUUUCGGAAGGGCGGAUAAAAUUUCUAUGCAAUCGACUGAGAAACGUUGUUGCGUAUAUCCUCCAACAUUCUUUCGAGACACAUUUCCAUAGAUGCUGCACCGCUUUUUCAACACUUCACCCUUGAUGCAGGCAGAACCUUAAUUCGACUUAAAAGUGCGAAGAAAUGCAUCACUUCGUGGCGGUUCCCUUCCUUUUCUUUAUCUUGUACGUCUGUCUGCAUCUUGGUUCCUUGUAUGCACGUGCAUCGAGCAAAACGAGUUCUAAACUAGCAAUUCCCGAAACAUCGGAUUGCGAUAAGACGGAUUGAAAUUAUAUGCAACCGACUGAGAAACGUUGUUGAGUGUGUCUUCCAACAUUCUUUCGAGGCACAUUUCCAUAGGCGUUGUACCGCGUUUUCAACAUUUCACCCUUGAUGCAGACAGAACUUUAAUUCGACUUAAAAGUGCGAAGAAGUGCAUCACUUCGUGGCGUUCCCUUCCUUUUCCUUACCUUGUACAUUUGUCUGCAUCUUGGUUCUUUGUAUUCACGUGUAUCGAGCAAAACGAGUUCUGGUAGGGACAGUACAGUUGACUGAAUUUCGGAAGGGCGGAUAAAAUUUCUAUGCAAUCGACUGAGAAACGUUGUUGCGUAUAUCCUCCAACAUUCUUUCGAGACACAUUUCCAUAGAUGCUGCACCGCGUUUUCAACAUUUCGCCCUUGAUGCAGACAGAACUUUAAUUCGACUUAAAAGUGCGAAGAAAUGCAUCACUUCGUGGCGUUCCCUUCCUUUUCUUUAUCUUGUACAUUUGUCUGCAUCUUGAUUCCUUGUAUUCACGUGCAUCGAGCAAAACGAGUUCUACAUUAGCAAAUGAGCAAACUCCGGAAUGCAAUUAGACGGAUAGAAAUUCUAUGCAAUCGACUGGAAAACGUUGUUGAGUGUGUCUUCCAACAUUCUUUUGAGGCACAUUUCCAUUGGGGUUGCACCGCUUUUUCAACACUUCACCCUUGAUGCAGGCAGAACCUUAAUUCGACUUAAAAGUGCGAAGAAAUGCAUCACUUCGUGGCGGUUCCCUUCCUUUUCUUUAUCUUGUACGUUUUUCUGCAUCUUGGUUCCUUGUAUGCACGUGCAUCGAGCAAAACGAGUUCUAAAUUAGCAAUUCUCGAAACGUCGGAUUGCGAUAAGACGGAUUGAAAUUAUAUGCAACCGACUGAGAAACGUUGUUGAGUGUGCCUUCCAACAUUCUUUUGAGGCACAUUUCCAUAGAUGCUGCACCGCGUUUUCAACACUUCACCCUUGAUGCAGGCAGAACUUUAAAUCGGUUUAAAAGUGUGGAGAAAUGCAACACUUCGUGGCGUUCCCUUCCUUUUCCUUACCUUGUACAUUUGUCUGCAUCUUGGUUCUUUGUAUUCACGUGUAUCGAGCAAAACGAGUUCUGGUAGGGACAGUACAGUUGACUGAAUUUCGGAAGGGCGGAUAAAAUUUCUAUGCAAUCGACUGAGAAACGUUGUUGCGUAUAUCCUCCAACAUUCUUUCGAGACACAUUUCCAUAGAUGCUGCACCGCUUUUUCAACACUUCACCCUUGAUGCAGGCAGAACCUUAAUUCGACUUAAAAGUGCGAAGAAAUGCAUCACUUCGUGGCGGUUCCCUUCCUUUUCUUUAUCUUGUACGUCUGUCUGCAUCUUGGUUCCUUGUAUGCACGUGCAUCGAGCAAAACGAGUUCUAAACUAGCAAUUCCCGAAACAUCGGAUUGCGAUAAGACGGAUUGAAAUUAUAUGCAACCGACUGAGAAACGUUGUUGAAUGUGCCUUCCAACAUUCUUUUGAGGCACAUUUCCAUAGGGGUUGCACCGCUUUUUCAACACUUCACCCUUGAUGCUGGCAGAACUUCAAAUCGGUUUAAAAGUGUGGAGAAAUGCAACACUUCGUGGCGUUCCCUUCCUUUUCUUUAUCUUGUACAUUUGUCUGCAUCUUGGUUCUUCGAAUUCACGCGCAUCGAGCAAAACGAGUUCUAUAUUGACAAGGUUCGAAACGUCGGAUUGCGAUAAGACGGAUUGAAAUUAUAUGCAACCGACUGAGAAACGUUGUUGAGUGUGCCUUCCAACAUUCUGUUGAAGCACAUUUCCAUAGGGGUUGCACUGCUGUUUCAGCACUUUACCCUUGAUGCAGACAGAACAUUAAUUCGAUUUAAAAGUGUGGAGACAUGCAUCACUUCGUGGCGUUCCCUUCCUUUCCCUUACCUUGUACAUUUGUCUGCAUCUUGGUUUCUUGUAUUCACGUGCAUCGAGCAAAACCAGUUAGACUAGUUAGAGUUUUAGUCUAGUUAGACUAAAAGUGCGAAGGAAUGAAUCACUGCGUAUCGUUCCGUUACUUUUCGAUGCUAGUAUUGUUGUGAAUAGCUACCAAUAGACCACGCUUCGUGUCAGUCGAACGCAUAAUUGCCGUUUUCUUCCGUGUCUUUAUCUUGAUCACCUAUCUGCAUCUUUAUUCUUCUUAAUUUAUGCGCUUCGAACAAAUGGAAUUUUCGCAAGAUGCAUGGAACCUGUCAAAUUGCGGAAAGGCGACGUAUUUUUUCUAACCGUGUCUUCGUACCAAGCUUCUAAGUUUGUCCUUUCUCAUAGUCUUUUACUUGCAAGCUUCGAUAAGUUGAGAUCUCUACAGUUUAAAUACUUUAUUCGCUCUAACGUUCGGGAUACCGAGAUUGGACUGUGUUCCCUGGCGGUUUUAUUCUCAGAAUAAUGUUCCACUGCUUCUGCGAUACGUACACUCGAAUCAUUGUAUGGGAAAAUAAAUACAUCAUUAGCUAUGCUUUGCUCAUAUUCGAGUAAUUUCGUGUUCACUAUAUUACGUUACUUUAAAGAGAAUAAAAAAGAAAGGAUAAACUCUAAAAUAUUUCAUGGAUCAGAGAAUUAGUGGCGGAAGCAACAGAGAAUAAUUUACACAGCGCACGUAACAGGGGUUGUGUGUUGUGCAUUUUUGCAUCCGGAAAUCAAUGUCGUAAAUAUUUCGGAAUGAUAUGGACAACAUCGGAGCAUCUUGGUCUGGUCCACUUUCCUGGAGAAUUCCGUAGAAUAUCGUGGCCUGGUCAAUGACCUGCGGUAUCUCUGUACGUGUAGUAUACAAUGUCCUGUCGAACGGAAAUCGUUCCGCUUUAGUGGUGCAGUUGCAAAGGACCCAGAGAAGCAGUAGCAGGUCAGCCAGCCGAUGCAUUCUUGUCCGCUACUAAAUAAAACUAGGAGAAGACGUCCUCUGCUACGUCGAUUCUUGCUUCUGAAUAUCGAUUUUAUCUCUACCCGCACGCCACAAUGUUGCAGCGCGAGACAAAACGUAAACAAGGUUCUGCACGCGAUCUCCUACCCAUUUCCGAUUUUAUGUUGCUAUUUUAUCGCUUAGCUGAUCAGCAUAUAGCUGUCGAUAAAACUGCGCCUUUUUCUUACAAGGCGUUUCGUUCUUGCUCUGCGAAACGAGCAAUUUUUGACUGCGUGCAUUGCGUUGUUCGGCAGACCAAAUCGCCGCAGUAUCGCCACAACGACGAUACAAAUGAUCAAUGUGUUUCAAAUCUCCUCGCCUAUUUGUAGCCGGCGAAAGUUUCAGAAGAACAAUGUCUACCUUGCUUAAUAUGUUUCGUGAACAGCCUGUGUGUUUCGGAAUGAAAUGUACGCGAUAGAACACGUAUAAUAAGUAUACGAGAAAAUAUGGAAGAAUGCACUUGGGUUGAGCCGUAGUUGGCUUCGUUGUUACCAAGUUUCAGUGGCCGAAGUUAAUCUCAAUUUUCUUUAAAAUCUUAACGACGCCGGGGCUAAAUCUCAACUCGUUUCGCGAGCUGUGUUACGCGAGCCAUAACAUCGCGGUGAAGCGAAAGUUCUCAGCGAGAGAAGUUGGCCGAGUACUCGCAAUUUAUAAUGUUACGAUGGAUGGACGGAUCUGCACGAGCUCUGGCUACCUUAUUGACUUUCUUCCCAACUCGCCAGCAACAGACGGACGACAUCGACUUACAGGAAACGGCGAUCCUCGAGCACCUUCGACAUUCCCAAGUGCUUCUCCAAACGAAUUCAUCGCGCAACUUUAACCGAGUACUUGCUACUAAUAGAAAUCCACUUUACUAGUUCAUCAGCCGGAGCCUCUCAUAUCCGCGCGGAUAGAGUGGCGAAAAUAAUCGAGUAAUGGAACAACCGCUUUCGUCACGUCGAGUUUCGUUCGUUCGUACAGAGACGACCAGAGUGUCAACUGUAAACGGAUACGAAGAGAUCGAUAACAUAUUAAGAAAUUACACAGGUGGAAGAGUUGGUUGCAAUAAAUUAUUGCGUGUAAUUGCGCGCCCCGUUGUAAGAAACAACGAACUAAGAAACGUAGAAUUUGAUCAAAUGUGAGGUGAUAGGUUGCGAUAGUUGUAGUUGCUGGAUGCCCGAUGUAAGCUUUCGCAGUGAUAUCGGCGUUUCCUUGCGGCAGAAGCUAGCGACAAAGAACGAUCCUCUUUGCAGAAAUUGUGCGUUACGUACGAUGUACCGUAAUACUUGGCUGCUGCAGGAUGCAUAGGUCGAUUACCCUAGCGUUAUGAGAGAGCGUACGAAGACAGACUGUUUCAAAGAAUCCUGCGACACGCACGCUAUUCUUUCUUUAUUUAUUCCGUGAGGCAAUAAUGGUAAAACGAAAGGACAGGUCCCAGAGCCACGUUGUCGCAGUAGCACGAAAAUGAGUUAAAUGUAGACAUAGCAAUCUACGCAAGCGAGAGUAGAACUUAAAGAAUAACAAUGUUGUUAUCUCUAGAAAAUAACAAGCAAGUCGAAUGUCGUGUUCGAAUAGCUGGCAUGCGGUCGCAAAAACGACCCUGGAAACAAACGAUUAAAUAUCGCGGACGUUGUAAUUUGCUACCUGUUACUGGCUUUAUCUCCGCGGUAUCGAUUAUUGCUUUGCGUUAUCGCGCAUUCAGUUUGAAGGAUUCCAUAAAUAAGGAUAAGAUCGGUAUUUCUCCGAUUAACAGAGAUGGGAUACGGUGACGAAAGUGAGGGAAUUUUCCAAUGACAUUCGUGCAACGAUGGAUGUAAAAGAAAAAAGAAGAAGAAGAAAUGUGCGCGGAACCACUGUGUCGACUGUGUAGACGCAACAGUCUUUAUUCCAUCGGAUCAGCUGUAUCGUUAAAGAGUUCGGCUCACCGUAGCCAAGCUUCUUCUAUCAGAGGUCCGAUCAUUUCGAUGAUUGGAAACUGAAAGCCGGAGGGGAGAAAAGGAUGCAAAGAGUGCUGACACGUGGCGCGUAAAAAGCAUCAGGCUUCGUCGGAGCGAGUGGCACAAAGCGCGCGAUUCCACAUAGCGCGCCUCAAAGAAAAGGGAAUUUCCCAUUUUCUGAAUUAUCGGUCCCGAUCAACGAACGACCGCCCCCCUCAUCCGCUUUCUCUCCUUUACCUCGAGUCGCAAACAAUGAUUUUCCUCACGUGCCGACCCCGUUGACCCGGCACAAUGCGGAAAAUUGCAGUGAUUGCCGGUUCCGUACAACGCGAACGCCGCUUUAUCCCCCCGACCCUAUCGGGGCUCUGGGCCAAAGCAAAGAAUUCUUGAAAGUGCGGCUGUCUCGGCCGUAAUCGCGCUGUUAGCAACGUCACACGCCGCAUUCUCAACGCCAAACUUACACGCUCGAACCGCACGUGGAAUUCGACAGUUGUAUAGAAAAUAAAAUAUUGGAGCAAGAGUGGACAAAUACCGCGUAUAUAUGGAAUAGCAUUUUCUUCUUGGAACGUCAUUCUUGCGGAAUCAACAAAGCAGCGACCGAAGAUCUUUAUUGCUAUUCGAUCGUACGCUUCGUCAUCAGUGGCGGAUGCUGAGACCAGUUUUGCAUGGAAAAGGACAAAUAGAGCAAAGGACCAAGUAACAAGUAUGAGAGAACGCAACAAAUUUGCACAGAGUGAAACGAUCCUGCCACGAGACAUUGUUCUCUCGACUGCCGAAUCGUUGUCAAGUCUACCGGAUGUUUGUCAGACUUUUUAAAAUAUCACUGGUCCGUGUUUGACUAUUUUUCUCUAUCCUUAUCACACGCUUACAGUCCACGCUGUAAUAACAGUUGCCUUUUAUCGCGUUGAACCAUCGUUGCACUGCGUUAUGCUGGUGCUAGGAUUAGAAUAUUUUUUCCACUUGUUUGUUUAUACGUACGUAGUAACUUUCUCGAAAGAUAUCGAUAACUCGGAUAUCACGCGUUCUCUCUUUGAACGUCGGAAUAUAAGCAGCUUCCUUUCUCCAGGAGUAUCGAUUCGCCAUCGAUGGGAAUAACGUUGCGGAUGUAUUGCCACCUGAACGAACCAAUAGGUUCCUUUUCUUUUGUCUCGGUUGCAUUUAUCUUUCUUCUUCGUUCUCCUUUUUUCAUUUCUCCCUGCUUUUAGUAGUCACGGAUCACCGUAAACAACAGGCGCAACGUGUAAUGUAAAUAGAGAACGUACAAAGGAAUAAUCAAUCGCGAACAUGGAACAGACGCAUAAAUCGUAUCCGAAGAAAAACUUUUCCCCUUCCUGCCUUUCGAGCAACGAAAAAUGUCGAAUUUGUUAUCGAAACUGCUGGCUUUUUAAACGCAUUCAUUUUCGAAACUGCUGCUGCUUCACCUCGACAAAUUCCGGCUGUGUUAAUAAACGAUCUUUACUCGAACGUAUCUCGUUGCAAAUAUAUUUUCAUGUAAUUUCUGCUUUUUCGAUUCGGGUAGAAAAUGAUUAAGCUAAAAAUUGAUUGCCGCCUCUAAACGGAGGUUGGACCGUGCGUAUCGUGCAGAUUAUUUAUGCAUGAAUAUAAUUAUUUCGCAUUUCACUUGAUACGAAAUAUUUAAAAGUCUCAUUUGCAUAUUGAAAUAAUCCUGACACGAUGAAUUUAAAUAUUUAAUCAAACGAUCCCCACUUUUUUGUUAAACAUCGCCGCUUCCGUGAAGAUUAUAUCGUUGUAGUAAUGGUAGUUCCGGUAGUGGUAGUUUAUUGCCUCCCUUAUGGGGUUACAAGACUUUCUCUUUAUAUAUUAACCGUGCUUUGAAACCCAGCUACGUAUAAAACAGAAAACAGGAAGAAAAUCCGCCUUAGGUACAUAAACUUUGCAUAAAAUCCGGUACAAAUUAACGAAACGAACCAAGAGCUUUCGCAACGCGUACACAAAUUUAAACCCAGUGAUGUAACAAAAAUGUAACGAAAAAGAGAAACGUCGUGAUACUUUAUGAAUAGGGUGACCCAUAAAAUGAAAGAAAUCCAUACACGGAAUAUCUCACAAUUGAGCCACUACUGGCGAGUUGGCGAAAUUUGGAAUUUAAAAAUGUCUGGUAAAAUAACAGAAUUUCGAUUUAUGUGCUUAUUUGACCGGUAAUUAUGUAUUUGGGUGCCUCGUAUUUUACGAGUGUCCAAGGCUAAUUAAAUUGCCAGACUGGCAGAGCUAUAAGCGAUAAGGUCAGCGACUUCAACUGAUCAUCUGAAAUAUCACGACUAACCGUGUAUUUCGUAAAUACGUAAGAUAGUCGAGGGAUGGUGAUAUUCCAAGUGGUGUUUUACACUAUGUGAUAAGAAAAAUAUGUUGUUGGUGUCCUGAUUUUAAAUAAUCACAGGCAAAGCUUCCUAUUGAAGAGGCUUAGCCGCUGAUAGAUAAUGCGAAAUAAUGGAAGCAAAUUAUUGCUGUCACAGCUCGUUAUAUGUAUUUCAAUUAAUCCAGUAGAUAUAUGUACGACAAGUAAUUCGGGGUCGGUACUCGAUAUUCUACAAUCUUCUCUCCCGUCCGCGAACGCGUCUGUUUUUAUUUAUACUAGUCAGAGAAGAGUCGGAAAAUUCGAAUUUGUCCUAAUCCGACGGUUGCAUGUAGCGGCGACAUUGUUUUGUCCGGAGUUUACAUUGCUUGUAUUUUAGCGGUCUUGAUACUCCGGGACAAAACAACAUGAUUUGAUUUGCCUUCUAAAUCAUGUGCCGCUACACUAUCAUUGUAUGUAUGCAUACAUGACAACCGAAAAUAAAGAGAUGUUAUUUGCUCGAUCUCCGCAUCGAGGUAUCUACGUGUUUAGAUCGGUACAAAGAUGUCCACGAGUGACCAAGGGCGGUUAAACUGUCAGACUGGCUGAACUGUGGACGUUAGGGCUGGAGACUUUAAACGAUAGACUUAUCGUCCAAGCAUGCAAAAUUACCCAGCGUCACAAGACACUCAAGAGACACUCCCAGAUUAGGUUAUUACACGAUGCAACGCGAGGAAUGUGCUGUUAGGUGUGAGAGAAUGUACGACCAGAGAGGCUUCUUCUUCGGCACUUUUAGCGAGCUUCCCCGUGCAUCAAUGAUCUCGACUAUCGUAUAUAUCUCAUUCCCUGGUACUCGGGCGUCUUAUAAGUCAUGGACCUGGUCAUUAUCGAGGGAUACAUGUAGCCAAUCUUGAUACACGUAACCCGCCGCCAUCCCCAAAGAUCGAGAUGAAGAGUAAAUAUAGCGUAGAUAGUUUCGUCGAUAUAUAUCGUCCACUAGAUCGAAUGGGCAUUAUCGUCGAAAACGCAAGAUCGAAGUCGUCGUUGGUAGUUAGCAGAACCCAUGCCAUUCGACCAUUUGACGCUUCUGUAGUUUGGAAGACAAUAUUCGCCGACAGCCUGGGUAGCUUAAUUGGGGUCAGAUUGACAAAGCACUAGCGUGGCAAGCGGUAGAUCCGACUUGCAAUCCCGGCCUAGCAAUACGGUCGGCCAAAUAUCUUUCUCCCUACAAAUCCAAUACAACUGUUCUCGGAAAUAGCAAAUAUUCCGGUCCGUAUCGUAAACUUUAGAAGUCGCGUGGAUGACCCGAACACGUAUCGUACUGCUGCACAUAUCACUACAGCGUCGCGUGACCGAAGCACUGAUGGAACUCGCAGUACCCAUGUUUGUUCGAACGUUGCACCGUAAAACAUCGCAAGUGCAAGCGUAUACGUGAUUCCCUGCGACACGCCAAAACCCUGUAAUUCCCGAAUAAGGGGUCGCGUCUGUUAUCCGCGCGGAUGCUCGUCAUCGCAAGGCACACGACGACCACCGGCCGAUUGUCUAUCAGCGAAGACGAGCGAAGCGAAACGUUCGGAACCGCUGCAAUCUAUCCGUAGAGAUACACGUAUAUCUCGAUCCCUGCUUGUCCAUUCGUCGGCGUCGUUCAAUUUUCCGUAAUGGUUCCUUUCGUCGAAUGACGUUUCACGCUGGACGCGAUCAGGAACCCUCGCUCUUCGCAAUAUCUCGCGGACCAGCUGCAUUCGAGAACCGAUAGACCGUGUUAUCUUCAAAAGCAUAAUUUCUAGCAAGCUCAAACUUUUUUCUUUUUUUUUUUAUGGCUAUCGUUAGCGCAAGACCAGUUACAGAAACAUUAGGAAUAAAAUAUAGUCGCUCGGGAAUAUUUAUUGUAAUUACGUAAUCGGUUGUGCUUAGUGGUUUGAAUUUUAGCGUUCGUUAACGAGUGAUAGUAAUAAUAGUAGAAUGUCAGGAUUGCGAAUUGGAGUAUGUCUGAUUUUAGUAUAAAUGGUAUAUAUAUGCCAUUGCUUCGGUAAUUAUUAAAAGCGAGAUAAUGUUUUACGUGACGAUUGACGAAAUAUCUAACGCAACUCUAAAUAAGAUAGAUAUCGAUGUUAAUAUGUAUUUCGUCUAAUCGAAAAGUACGUCGGAGAAAGGAGAGAGACAAAUUGAAGCGACUGUAAUUGAAACUUGAAUUAAUUAAGUCGAGUGCAGCUAAAGGGAUUAAUCUCGAUUUUGAGCAUAGCCGUGCUAAGUGGAUUCGACAUCUUUAGCAAUAAAUGAAUCUGAUGCAUAUAGACUAAAUAACUAAUCGCUAAUUUCCUGCUAUUAUAUAUUUAUCGUUGCCCGAAUUACUACUAUUUCAUAGUACAAACUGCGAGAUUAAAUCCUACGUUUUUAAUAAUAAAUGAACCGAGCUGUGUAAAUGAAAUAAUUCAUUUGUAGCAUUACUAAUACGUAUGGCUACGCAAAGUGGACAAUUUAGUAGGACAAAAUUUCAUUCGCGAACAAUUCGCGUUGUAAAGAAACACAGUUCGUUAGAUCGCUAAAACUGUUGUUCCUAUCCCGACAUUUUUUCCACAAAAAUCGAAGUAACGAAGCGUUCGGCCAUUUAAAUCUUCGCGAUUCACUGAUUCCUUUUUUAUCUUUUCUUCUUUUUUUUUUUUUUUUUCGUCAACAUGAAUCGAUAACGUAGUUUUAGUUCAGCUCGUUGAAACUGUCGUUGCGUCGCACGCCUGGCCAGAUACGGCUAUCUCCACUGAAACGUAACCCCGAAUAGAUUUUCUAUUUAAUUACGACAUUUCUUUCUAUCGUGUGUCCCCGUUCGUAGCCAUUAGAACAUGGUUGUUUCGUAUAAAAUUUGAUGAUCGACCAAAAUUGUCAAAAAAACGUUCAUUCGAUCGCGAAAUCUUCGCGAUAGUCAGAUACUUCGAUACUGACUUUUCUACGAAACGCUGUGCCAAACUGUAAGUGCAAAGUACAAUUGCAAAAUCCAAAGCGAUAAAGCAAGCGUAGUUUCGACAGCUUCGCGAUAAUACUUGAGGAUUAUCUCAUUUUCUUCAAAUGUCGCGUGGGUGGAUAUCGUCAGCAUUGAGACUAGCGAUGCAAAUCGAUCAUAUCAAAUAUCCGGUCACGCAAAAGUUGGUCGGCUAUCCGGGUAUCCUGUGAGACACCUGAGAUAGUAAAGAGUUUUGAUGAUACCUUCGGAGGUUAGGCUACUAUAGUACGUAGCCUACAUAUAUCGAGUACGAUAUUUAAUAUACGUGGGACUGAUUAAUUAAUAUAAAACAGUUAUAGAAAGUACACGGUGCAGUGCCUGUCAGACAUUCGGGAUUCAGGAUUCAGCAUUCAACAUUCAGGAAUACGGCUGAGAACAGUAGGCUGUUUUUUCAAGUUAGAUAUACUUUUCAAUUUGACUGUACUUUCCAGCGGAGUAAGAAAGAACAUGGAGAAGGCUUCGAGGCAGUCAGCAGCAAUUCCCAAAUGUGACGGACCGAGUAACGUAUCACACGUCAGGGUUGCUGACAAUUGUAUUAUAUUCGUCUUCUGUCGAAUGACGUUAUCGUCUGUUCGACGACAAAAAUCUGUGGCUAAUCGCCUUUAUGGAUUACGUACUUUGCCACUUACUUGUGUCUUCUAUCUUACUAAUAUCCAAAAGCAGAAGCCGCCGUUUCUUCCUACUUUCAUUUCUUCUUACUUUAGUAUGCUAUCACGAACCAGACUCGGUGAAAACUUCGCCAAUAUAAUUACGUCGAUUAGGUGUCAUCGCAGAGCUAAGGCGAAUUCAAACACACGCGUAAUAUGUUCGUAAAAAUUGCCGACGAGUACGAAUGCUCUGACGAGCCACUGCGUAACAGUUGUCGGUGCACCAUCGAGGCACUCGCUUAUUUCUUCGUAUAACGGAAAUUCGUAUCGAAAGCGCGGAUACCAGACGUAGAAUACCGAACAAAUUGGUCCGUCAACCUUCUAAUUCGGCUUCUGAUUGAUGAACGUUUUAGAUGAAAGUCGACACAGGCUUACAGAAAGAUCCUUCGAAGACGAUUUAUGGGAAUGAAAGUCAGCGAGGACGUCUCCUCCUUGGAGGGUCGUAAGCUUUCUCGAUCGAUUCGUCGAAAACUUUUAAAAAGACCAAGAAGCUGGCCGCGUAUUUCUUUGAAACAGAGAAGCAACGACUCGAAGCAGCCUACAAGGUGAAUACAGCCAGCCGAACGAUCCUUCGAGGAUGCGUUUGCGCGUCGAUCAUAGAAUUCAUUUUCUGAUUUCCCAGCAGACGUACCCCAGGUGUGUCGUAGCUAAUCUCACCAAAGUUGGUCGCUCGUUACUGAAAGCGCUUUUCACCUCUAUAAGAGCACUUUCGGGCAAUUUUUCCCACACGGCUGCCUGAUAUCUGUUUCGUCCCAGUUAGAGAAAAUACUUAGGUAACGUUUAGAUCAUUGAAACAAAUUUAAUUUCGUUUAAGAAGUGCAAUUGAAAAUUAAAUUAAAUUGCGUUAAGUGCAACAAGUGCAUACAUGAAGUUUACAAUUCACGGCUGUGGAUAAUAAAAAUAAUCACAUUGAUAGGAUCAUCUUUUACCUUAUUAAUGACAGUAUUAAAAGAUGUCUGGUUUAUGGAUAGGUGUAAUGAUCUAUGUCUACAAUUUAUUCGUUCUUGUCAAAUGUAAUUUUGUUUCCUGAAAUCGUGUUAGCAUCUUGCUACCACUUUUGUGGCAAAGACCUUCUCUAACCUGGUUUCGCACUUUGACCAGUCGAAUGGACUGUGAAUGGAUUGCAUUUGAGUCGAAAUUAGUAGACGUAGUAGGUAGGAGCAUUAAUAUCUGCAAACUGAAUGCAAUUAAUUUGCAACAAAACCGGAUCUAGUUAACAUAUUCGCUGACAUAAUUUCCAUUCGCCUCGAUUGAAUUCUAUGGUAAAAUGAACAAUGGAAUACGUAAUUCGACUUCUACCACUGAAUUCUAUAAAAUACGAUACGCGUGCUAUACGUAUAUUCCUUUGUUGUUGCGCUCUUUUUGUGAUUGUUAUGCAGAAUGAUAAUUUCGCAGUUGGAAAUUAAUUAAUCUCGUAUCGUACGUAAAAAAAAGGAAUAUGCCUCGACUCCUUUCAUUCUUACGCAGAAUUAUGACUUUUCGGUUGAAAAUAAUUAAUAUCGUAUCAUGUGUAAAUGCAUAUGAUGGUCGACGAGAUGUAAGCAAAGAAUUCUGCGUUGGAUCGUAUAAUAAUCAUCGUAUGGGCGAAUAUACAGAGCACUGGCGCCAUUCGCGAAGCGCCUGAUCAAACAGGAUGAUUCCAGCAACCGAAUUAACCCCUUCCCGUAUUUUGGCGAGUCUGACUAGUACAGCUUUGCUCCAAGCAACGUCAGACGAAGAUUCUGGAAGAACGUUCGUGUUCGACGCUUUUAAUUCGAUUCCAAAAAUCGUGCGAUUUACUUGUCAUUAUCUCGUGCAAAUGUCACGCUUCCUCGGACCUUUCCUUCCAGUUGGAUGAACACGGGUAAAGCUUGCGUUACACGUCUUCCUGGUUGCUGAUCGAUGUCUUCCGUUCGGUGAAUUUUCACGCAUCUUUUGCAACGUAUCGUCUCGUACUAACCGAAUGCUUGCUGCUGGAUUGGCGUUCCUCUUGUUCAUACAGCUGACCUGACCGCUGCGUAGAACGAAUUAACAAAUCGUAGCACCUUGUACCUAACUCUGCCCUAGCUCCCUAAGGUCCAUUAAUCUCGCGCCAUUACGGUCUAUUAAUCUCACACGCAAUCUUGCGGUGCUCAAAGCAUGUAAACUUUAGCUUCUGACCGAUCGCACGAUCUCACCGUGUCUGCUAACUAUAUCUCUACGAGUUCGUAUGAGAGCGUCUGAACGAAGAGACGACGGAGCAGCGCGCACGCGUUUCACGCCGGUCAACGUGAGCCACCCACUUUGCCACCCACUUCGCCACCCUAUCCCGUUCCAUUCUCUAGGUCAGGAGGAUGAAUGAGUCGAGUGAAGCACCCUCUAGGGAUGUCACCAGCUUUCCAAUCCCUCCGACGCCCCUUCCCAAGCGGCCGUGGUGCAGACUACUCGCGCUCUAUCCCCUUCCGCAGGGUUAAAAAUAGCCGGAUCCGCUGACGUCAUCGAUCUGUCGUCGCCGGACCAAACUAUUCCGACCAACUCGUCCCUGGGAAAGUGGCGACCCGACGCCACUAGAACGGCUCGUAGCUAGCGAUGGGAUCAAGUUCAAUACGUGUGUAAUUAUAAAUCGAGAUGCAAUACUAUCAGCCGCAGUUCAUACAGUUCUCAUAGUUGUCAUAGAAUUUUUGAACAGUGCUUGUAUGGUUUAGUAAGAUUAUUUGAGUCGCCAGUUGAAAAUAUUAAAAUGCGAUCUUAAGGUUCACGCAGCAAGGUUGAAUUUCUUAUAUUUCUUCUUGAUUUUCUUCGGUAUCCAAUCGAGUCCAGUUUCGAGAUUUCAUUAGCGCUACAUGAAGGUACACUGUUUUUUUCCACGAAAAGUGUUCGAAUUCGAAAUACCUUGGCGGGCCAUUCAACUUGAACCUAUCGCUGCUCAUUGCAUUAAUAACAGGUGCAGCGCAGCAGUUUUGCGACCGUCGCGUCUCGCCAACCUCGCCGUACUCGAUCAAUCGCCGAUGAGGUUUUUCCACAUGGACAGCAGACGUUCGUUUGAUUUACUGGAAUUCUCAUCGCUGGAAAAUUAAGCGGUCGGACGGGACGCGUUCCUGCGGAUGUUUCAGCAGAACGCUUCUGCGGCGAUUUUCCAAAGUUACCUGUCUCUCCGCACGCGCCACUAUUUCCAGGCAAAUUACAAGCCCGUAAUUGCUGGCUGAUAAUUUCGCGGGGUUUAACCCUGUUAAGUAAUCCCACUCAUUUCCCUGCCAAUCGUAUUUUGCUGUCAUUAAGCUCUUAAUCAGGGAAGAUGAAUCGCCUCGCCGUUCGUAUUACCAAUUUCUUCGACACAGUGAUCUCCUCGUUGCAUUCCUGUUAAAAACGAUAAAUCACCUAUGUUAUAUCGAUACUUGCGAGUACUAGAAUCGACCCGAUUGAGAUUAAUUUAUUCUAAUAUAUUCGAGAGUUGUACAUAGAUUUUUACGACUGACUAUAACGUUCAUCAAAUGCACCGCAGGGUACUCGUAUCGACCGUUAAAUACACUAUGAAAUUCUCGUACAAAUUGAUACCAGUUGUCUGUCUACUUUUCUCUCGGUAGUUUUGAAUAUUUCUAUAUCCGGAUGGAAUUUUAGGAAUCGCAGAGAGUGAGCCAAAAGAUCGCCCAUAUUCGGGCCCACCGUUACAAAACUGAAUCUCGUAGCAAAUAAUACCGCGUGAUGAGAACGCAGGAAAUUUUCAAGUUGAGCUGGCAAAUGGUAUCUUGUUGACGAGACAUCGAACGAUCGAUCGCCUUCUGAGAUACAGCAGGUCCAAGAACUCAAAGUUCAUUCGUGGACUACAGCCCUAAACAUCGAAUACCAGAUUUGGAUCAUGCAAAAUAUGGAAUUUCGGUCGAGAAUCCCUUACUAGUUAUUACAUGUACAUGACAUCUCGAUAUGAGAUCCCAAUGGAAAGAAUCACCACAUUUUUAUAGAUUAUGGAUAAAAAUAAAUAGCUGGCUAUUGCAGCCACAUUACCAGACAGUUGUGCAGUUCCUAGGAUAUUGUUAACAUUGGGACUGGCAAUGUAAAUGGAACAUUUGAAAUAUCCGGUUACGCAAAAGUUGCCUGGCUAUUCGGGUAUCUCACGAGACACCUGAAUACACGAGAUACUGAACAGUAUUGGUACCCUCCGAAGUUAGGCUACUAGAGUACGUAGCCUACGUAUAUGAAGAACGAUAUUUAAUAUACUCGGAAGUAAUUAAUUAAUAUGGAACUGUUAUAGUAAGUACACGGUACAAUACCUGCGAGACACCUGGGAUUCUCACGAGGUUAAGCCGCUAGUCAGUUUUGCCUUGAAACAAGCAACCAUCCCCUGUCAAUUAUUCGUAGAGCAGGUGUACUGUUCGACCUGACUGUACUUCCGAGCGGGACAAGAAAGAACAUGGAGAACGAGCUUCGAGGCAGUCAGCAGUAAUCCCUAAAAGCGGUGGACCGAGUAACAUAUAACACGUCGGGGUUGCUGACAAUUGUAUGAUAUUCGUCUUCUACCGAACGACGUUAUCGUUUGUCCGACGACAAAAAUUUGUGGCUAAUCGCCUUUAUAGACUUCGUACUUCGCUACUUACUUGGGCACACGUUGAUGAUAGUCGGAUUUAACAUUCCAAGGCAGAAGCCGCUGUCGACCGAAUUAUGGUAUAUGUGCAUAUGUGAGAACUGGAAGAAAAGAUAUCUCAUUCCUGGAAGGAGUCACUUUGAAGUUGUAAUAUCGUACGAUCAGCGUUCUUUACGAUUUUUUAACCACUUUGGCUCUAAGUCUUCAAAUGUCUCGUGUAUCUGGUGCAUCUCGUGAGCUAUCCGGGUGUCCAGGUAGCAUUUAUCUACCCGGGUGAAAUACAUUUGAAUAAGUAAAUACGAUUGGAAUUAUAUCAAAAUGUUUGAUGAAGAAUAAAAAAGUUACGGACUGUAGAGCUUCCCGAUGCGUAGAGGAGAACCUGCAGCCGCAAAGUAACGAUGAAGACCGAGCAAUUAACGAAAGGAUCCUGCUCUGCGAUUAUCGCAUGGUCAUGUGCACAAUCUCGAUACUUGUAAUGCCAUCGUCAUUUUUAGAAAUCCAGAUGAGGAGAGACAAAUAUUGAAUCGACCAUUGUUUCUGAAAAUCUAAGUUCAAACCCGUUGCUGCCAGUCGAUAAAAUCCACGGGACCAAUUUCCAACAUUAUCGGACUGACGUAAAGUCGAAGCGCGUGGAUCGACGAGGUUAUAAAUUUGGAGUUCUUUGAUCUGCCAUAUCUUAGAAGAAAAUCGAUCCAUCGAUGUCUGUUCGCAAUGUAUCGUUUGGCCCAAGAUUCAGUCCCAAAAUCGUGGGACGCGAAGGAUACGCGAAAACUCCUCUCACUUCUUAAAAGCUAAGGUACACCGGCAGUAGAGAUAUUGCGUGUUUGCGGGGUGAAACGGCUGAAACGUGAAAUUCGCCGGCGAGGGAGAAUUUAGGGAAACAGGGCGCUCUGGUGAACGACAUAUGCGACGUUUAAAAUAAAUGCAAUUAUAGAAUAUAAUAAGCGGAGCCGGUCCGCGUGUUACGUCUGUCGAGUACUCUGCGGCUUGCAGAUAGCUUUCUUAGGCACACAACACUACGAACUGGGUCGACGCGGGGAUCGAUGUGACGUAAAUGAACGAAAUUCCGCUUGGGACGAGUUAUUACAUCGCGAUGGUGCUCGUUCCUCUUCGUUGAGGUAAGAUUGAAAGGAAAUCAGAACGAAAGAACGAAGAAAAGGACGGCCAGAAGUAUAAAAGAUCUCUGUCCCGAAUGAUUUUCUUUUCUCUUCUGUUUUAUGUUUUCCUCCUUUUAUUGUUCCCCGUUUUGGAUUCUUUCUCUUUUUCCUUUCUUUUCUACAUUUUUCAAUCUUCCCUUUCCAUCUUGAAUACGUUUGCGACGCGAUAAAAGAUGAUGUUGACUGAGAUGACAGAUCGUAUGGAAACGGGUAAGAAAACGACACCAGAUAAAGACAAGUUACGUCCCUCGGUUUUUUACAACAGAUAACUCUGGAAUGCAGUACGCGAUCGUUUAUUAUCGUGCUAAAAUUAUUUGCUUUUGAAAAUUACUAUAACGAUAGCAGUUGUUCGUUUCUCAUCGAUGGCAGGUAGCGUGAACGUCAAAAAAUCAAAAGUAGACUCGUAUUCUUUUCGUUGAUGCUUAUUCUCAAGGACAUAUUAUUUUGUACGGGUAUUAGGAAUUACGAAUAAAUCAAAAAGUCCGAGUCUGUUCGUUUGCGACAACCUAUAGCGAAACUAAACACCAACGACCGCAACCACAACCUCGUACUACGAGUACACGAGAACCGAACCACAAAGGACAGAAGCACGACGUAGAGCCGGACCCAGCUUUAACAUCGUGAAACCGCAUAAGGCACAGUGAAGAACUAACGCGUAUUUGACGCGCAUUAAAGCUGAAUUUUCAGAAACGCCGUGAACGAGCAAUGUAGAUGGGCGAGCUAUCGGUAUCAGUGGUAUCUUGCGGAUGAUACCCGCAGAAGUAGCACAAAAUCUCUGUUCGCAGCUGUUGAAAGCUCGGUAACGCGUUUAAAGCGAGCUCGUCCGUGCCUGGUUAGUCGCGCGUGUUCGGCUGCCGGGUCCGAGAGUUAAUUCGUCAAACGAAGAAGACAGAGAGGCUCCUCGUCUGAUUUCAACGUCGGCUUUCCGCCCUACUUCGCGCACGGAUCCACUCUCGCGCAGCGUCGUUCAAAAGUGUAUCGUUGAAUUAUUCAUGACGCGUGUUCUUUUGGACUACGUUAGCGCCGACCACCGCCCACCUCGCCGAGACUUCUCGUUAAGACGUUUGCACGGUGAAUACAAACGCGCGAUCCCGGCAGAAAAAUAAGCGCGAUCAUCGAAGCGCGCUCGUUUUCCCGCCGCUUCCCUUUGUAAAUGAAAACGCGGCUUCUUGCCGUAGCUAAUGAAACAGAAAAGGAACAGCAGGGAAUUGCCGUCCACUCGUACUAGGGGACAUUUAUAAUACGUUGAUUGAAUUUCUCCAGUCACGCGCCACACACUUCUCAGGAUAAUCCAACAUCCAAUCCAACAUUAUCAGUCCCACUUCUCUUACGGUAUAAAAUUCGCGUUAGGGUGUCUGUCAGUAGGGAACAACUCGUGCGCACCGAAUCCUUCCGCGUUGGACCUAAUCGCGCCGCUUGUUGGAACCAAUGGCCGAUAUUCUCUUUGAUAUUUCGACCUGCACGCGAGACGCGAAACGGCGGAAUAUUACCGACGAUCGAUCCACGAUUAUGCAUACGUGACGUUAUCCUAUCAAUCGGGAUUCGUCGAUGGUAUCAGACCAGCCACCGGCACCGCCAACGAAGAAGCUCGCGCUAAUUCUGCCACGGUUUGCAGACGACGUCCAUGCCCUAAUACCUGAUUACGUAUGCGUGCAUCCGCGUACACGUUGGUCUACCGGGAUUAGACCCUAUCCGGACAAACGGCACCGGUCUGUUCCACUCUGGUUUAACAUUGAGCCCUUAAUCUGUACGUUAUACCUCUUAUCUGGCCGACUAGGCCACGCGGAAUCGGCCGUGCCACAUCGAAAAUUCGCUACAGCUAUUCAUUAUGGAUUAUCCGACGCAGCUAAUCAGCCAGCCGGAAGACUAUAUUUCGGCCAGGUUAUCCGGACGCACCGGAGGCCGGCUAUCAGCCGUACGGCCGGUUAAUUAGACAUCGUCGAUCCGGAGGACGACGAUCGGCCAUGUUCGUUAUAUGGCUAUAAUAUUAGAUAGUUGAUUAGACGGACGGUGUCGCAAGGCCGCUGGACCGUUUGCUUGGGAAGGCAGUUAAUUAAGGGACAAUCGUUCCGCGGUUAUAGCGUUAAUUGGCCUGUUCGUGGACCGAGCGAGUUCGCAUUCGCCGCAAGGAGUCUGUCGCCAGCGCGUGGCUGCUCGGCGUCCGGCGAAGAAUCGUCGUCGGUUUAGUUUUACAACUUGCUCUGUCACUCGCCGAAUAACUUGUUUAGUUACGAGAUGAGUAUCUCGUAUAAGUAUUAAGGCAUAACGAGGGUAAUAUGAAAGACGUUUUCCAUGGAGGAUAUAUGAAUUUCUGUUAUUUGCACAUGUAACAAUCUUGCUCGAGAAUGGGGUAGGAUAAAUUGGUUUAAUUUCAAGUAUUUAAGAGAUGGUAAUUGUAUAGCCUAUGAUCGUAUAAAUUUGGAUUAAUUUGAAAGUGCUGUUUAAAUACCUUGCAUGGUUCUUUUAAAUUAAUCCCAUUUCAUACGAUCUAUCCUACUUCUACAAUACCAUCAUACAACGAACAAAUCUGUUUUUCGUCGUAAAAAGAAAUAAAAAGAAAUAAAAGUGAACCGUAUUUAGCAAAGACCAAUUGAAAUUGAGCGAAUAGUACAAUUAACGGGUGGUUUCCAAGUUCUCUGCAAAAUAACUACGAGCCUAAAAAUGGAACUGUGGCCUGUUGCUUGUAAUAAUUAUACAAUGUGUUUAAUUAAUUUUGCAUGAUUUUAAGGAUUGCUAGAUCUCUUCGCAUAACUCGUGGCUCGAUCAGGUCUCAAGCUUGGUCCGAUCUCGACCGCCGAUUUUACGAUAUCGGCACCGAUAUAUCCAUCGACGAUUCGGUCAGAGAAAAAUCAGAUCAUGUCGGAUAUGGGACGUCAAAUCGUCUACUGGAACGCCGACGGUGAUCGAAAUUAAAUAUUCAAUCAGUCCUGAAUGGAGUAUCGAAUGAAGCGGAAAGAAGAGAGCCAGAACGAUCAGGUGGAGGCAGACAAUGCCUUUAUGAAAUUACGUUAAACGAUAGCCGCCAUAAAAACGUCAAAUCUGUUUCCAUGGAUCAUGUCGCAGGGUAAAAUCCAUUUCUCUUUCUUCUUCUAUUCCAUCGUUAUCGUCUCUGUAACCUUCCCUUGUCCGGAUAUCAUCGCGCUUCCAUCUUGACUUUUAUUCGAAGGUAGGAAUAUCCCUGUUCGAACACGUGCAUCGCUUACAUCCGUCGAUAUUCCCUGGAUCUUUAAUCCCUUUCUGUUUUACGAGAGACCGUGAAGAAUUGAAAUAAACAUUAUCGAUUGAUAUAUUUAUACUCUUGGAUAUAUAUAUAUAUUGGCUCGGAAAGUAAUCUCGUUCCUCGCAUGGAGAUGAAAGAGGAUUAUUUUUUUUUUAUAAAAAGAGAUAACUCCGUUCAGUUAUGUAAAUUUAUAUCAACCUCGAUGGCGCAUAUCUGAAGUCGAAAUUACCAGAAGAAAAUUUGGCAUUGGCGUUCGAUCGACGCAUGCUUUCAAUACACGACGCGUAAUCGUCGGAUCAAGAAGAAUACGAAGGAAACGUUCGACUGGGUUUCCACUUCGAUUACCUGCGAAUUCUUCAGGAAUAACGCGGACCCGUCACAAGGUUCCUCAAAUCUACCGUUCAACAAAACUACUGUUCAACGAUAGUGUUGCUAAAAUCUAUCGGUGAUAUACUAACGUUAUACUUAAAAUGUGCGGAUAACGUGCCAGAUACCUAACAAUUACUCGAACCAGAAACGAACAAAAGAAAGCAGAUUACGCGUGGCCGAUGCCAAAACAUAUUUUUUCUUACGAGGACGAUUAACUUGGCCAAAGACUAAACUAGCUUCUCAUAACCGGUAUUAUACCUGAAGUAUCGUUGGCGGUACGUUCAGCAGCAAACGAUGCGAAACUGAUGCGGCGCGCGAUGAAAUUGAAGAAAGACGAGGCGACACGACCGGGAGAGUUGCGGCCGUUCGAAACAUAGUAGGAAGAAGAGAUUCCGUCGAGAAGGAAACGGAAGAAAGUUCCGACUGGCAUGGACGUGGGGUUGGUUUCAAUCGGAAAUGGGCUUCCAACCAGCCGAAUAAACGACAACCGAGUCCGUGAUAGACGGUGGUGGUGCAAUUUAAACUUUCUCGUUCUCGCCGGCUUAUGGCUCUUUCGACUCACGAACGAACCGGUCCAAGAUAGUGGCUGACAGCUCGGAAGAAAGAUGGCAAAAGGCGCCACUGAUAAUAUACCUAAACCUCGGAAUUCGCCUCGGAACGAUCAAAGUAUCGGCAAGAUUUUGACAAAGAUCGCGAUCGCGGCGUUUAACAUUCGCCGUUACAAAAGGCAGAGAAUCUUUUUCUUCUUUUGUUUCACUAUAUUCGCGCUGUUACAUUUAGUUGAUACGUAGGUUAGUAGCCACGAACUUUGCUCGGUCCAACGCUGUCCGACGCAUCGUGGAGAGUCCAACACCCAAAAAGAAAAGAAUAUCGACGUCUGGCCAGCAUCGCGGUUGGCUUCAUCGCGGUAUCACUGAAUGUCACUCGGUUGAGAGUCGCGGGUGAAUGAUCGAUUUUCAAGUCGGAUGAUCGGCCAACAGCAUUCUUAAUUAGUCGGCUGAUCAAUUAAAACAGGAACGAAGAAAAAGCACGCUAUAUAGGGUGGAGAUAAAAACCCGUAUCUCGGUUGAUGUGCUCGAGAUGUCUCGUGAUCUCUGUUCCUUUCCUAUAUUUCUUCGGCAAGUACCCUUUGUUCUUUGUUAAGACAAACGUCUUUUCAAAGAGUAUCUUAUAGCCGGUAGUUAGUUGGUGUUCCGCUACCGCUGACUGUACGUACUUCAGUCCGGUGCACCUCUCUUGUUCCUUGAGCCGUGUACCCAAGCUCCUCUCAGUUUCGCCAUAGUGACACUCGAGGCCGUGAAAGUCUCAAGACUCGCUCAAGUUUCUCGAUUUGUUAUCCGUAUUGGAUUACUUGUCAUGGAUAGGAGCAAGUUAAAAAGUGGCCUUCUUCGGACCUCCUCGCCAGUGAAAAAUGCUUGCAGGAUAUUCGAGAGCGUCUCUCGGGGAACAAAAAACGUUCCAUUUACCCGAGAUGCGAUGGGAAAUACGAAGGAAAUGAGUGCAGAGAUGAAAGUGAUCGAAGUUUGGAAUAGAGCAAAUCCCAAGCAUCACGGCAUGGUUGUUGGCCAUUGUUCUCGUACGUAGCAACAAUCCGCUCGUACUGGAGAUUUUCUCGAUUUCAAGUUGCCUAUGAAUGCGUGAAAGCUCGCGGUCUAGUCAUAAACUACGCAGGCGAAACAGUCGGUGCUUGUUCACGUGGCCAACAUGGGAUUUUGUUGAUUUAAUGACGCAGUAUGAUUGACUAUUGCCCUGGCUAUCCUCUCCCAGCCCUUAGUACACUGAGAAGACCUCCAAGGACACCAGUAUAGCUUUCAUCGAUGCUCUUCGUCAACUGGUAGAAAUACGAAAAGUACCAAUUCUUCGUGAUUUCGUAUUUUUGUUGGAAAAUUUAUUGAAACAUUUAUAAGUCUACUUCUUACCCAUAGAAUAUGUUUGCCAUUCGGUAAAAUAAUUUAGGAUACCUAGUAUAUACAUAUAGAUUAGGAAGAAUUGAUUUUCUCGAAAAUAAAAUCUAAUGCGAAAAAAGAUCGCGCUGUCCGAUCACACUCUGUUUUAUUUGACUUCACUGGAUAACACUGUGUGUUACGGCUAAUAGGGUUGCCAGGUUGAAUUUCAUUUUCACCGACCAGUUCAAAUAAUUACUCAAAAUUAAUCACGGAAACGCCGAAAAGAGCACUUCCUUUUGGGACAAAGCGAACGGAAAAUCGACGAGUCUGCAAACGGAACAGAAUGCUGCGAUGGUCAAUAUUUGGAAUAGAAAAGCGAAUUUUACAGAGAGCGAUCAAAGCGAUCAUGAAUACUUUGGUACAUUUCCAACGAGCAGGGCCCGAAGCGGCACUUUCGUUAUAUUUAGUUUUAUCACAGACAUCGACGAAUGUCGCUUAUGACGAUUCAAAGAUACUCGUCUCGAAGAGUAUCAAGAAAUGCUGGUAACAUCGUAAUAGAGCGAUUUCCUGAUUUACGAGCAAGUUUUUAACUAACAACCAUAUAUAUUAUAUCGUAACGCUAUCUUCAAAACGCUGUGGAAACACUCGAUAAUUGCUCAGAAUGAGGACUCGAGUUUCGCAACCGCGACAUCACCACCGUCUGACUGACUCGCCCAAAUGAACCUUCGAAUGUUCAGCUCAACUCGUUCGAAGUUGUACCGUCUGCGAGUUGUUUUCGAUCAUCGAUCGAAUAUUUGCGGCAGAAAAAUUCACGUAAGAUGGUCAUCGUGGAAACGCGUUUAGUCUUUUGCCUGUCACCUUAAUUGAUGCAUUGACGAGUAAUGUAAAUGUACUGUAGUCAAAAUUAACGCGUAGACGGCUGCCGUAAUUUUAGAACUAGCCCCAGCCUAAUUCGGUACUCGCCUACAAAUUCCAUACCAUAAUUUGCUGCUUUAUGGGGAUAUUCCUCGUUCAGCGUUCCAAGUCCAGCGUUGCUUUUACAGCAGACCCAGUUGCCGAGGGUAACACGUUGUCUUCUAAUGAAAAUCGCUACGAUCGUGCGACGAUCGUUAGGUAAGUGACUUACCUACCGACCGUUUCAUUUUCAACUUUUCAUCCUCGAGAUGGCAGCAGUCCUUGCUUCUAUCAGCGCGAGCAACAGACCCUGAUGAUGGAAUACUCGAUGAAUCGCCCUGCGUGAAAUAUCCAUCGAACAGGAGAUCAGUUAAUUAGGUUCAGCUGGAAAUUCAUGAAAUUCCUAAUUAUCGGCUGGACGAUACAUCCGCGCGAGACGUAUCCGUGUCCCGUAUCGUUUCCACGUAAUUCGACGCUCAAACGCUGGCGAUUACGUUAAAAACAACCUUUGUCUCGUUUCAGACGACCGUUCCGAACAACUUGGUUUCGAGUUUCAGUCAGACGUACGUACACUUGCCUAUACCACCCAAUUUCCUUCCACUUAACCGAGCGGAUUGAGCAAAACUUGGCUGCCGCUGCGGACAGCUACGUACGCGCCAGAGAGCCACAAAGCAGAGGACCGAACUCUGCCGUCUCUUUGUUCCAACAAGUCCUGAUAAUUGUACAUUCGUAUCUUUGGUCGUUCUCCUUCUCAUGAUAAAAUCGAGAAUCGUCGCUGAAUAUAUACAGGGUGUCCGGCCCUUUAGUACCUUGAAUGCGUCGUGUAUGGAUAAGCGAUAUGGUUGUAUUUUAUUAAAUAUUUUAUUGUACACGCUUAUUGAACACGAUGGUACGCAAGUGUUCAGAGUGUUCGGAUGGAGAAAUUUUCUCGCUCGUUGAAUUAUCAUCAAAAUCAUUCGCAAAUGUAAUUCCUCCUUCUAUUCAGGCUGUUGGUAGAUCAAAGACAUUGCAAACGUAUUGCCAUAAACGUAAGCAAAUGAUAAGUUUGAGACAUCUUGCUGUUUCGUUGACUAUCUUCUCGGGUUAACGGGCAGAUCUCUUCUCGUAGGAUUAACAAGGUAAAAAAGAAAGCGAGAGAAUUGGGGAAACGUUCCCGCUAACGAAUCCAGAUAAUCUCGGAGUUGGGAAGCUCGGGACAAAUAGGCGAAAGAACACGUAUCGUUGGACAUUAAGCGUUACGUUUAAUAAGGUACAAAAGCGUGUUUAUACGACGCGUAAAUCACGUGUGCUGCAUUUGCCGGGCAACUCGUUGCCGUGUUAACCGUAGUAUUCAUAUAUUCCGCAUCUGCAGUCGCACGCUCAUGUAAAUUACAUAAAGCUUUCGGGGUGCAGUGUCGCGAACGAACAAGUUUUGCAUCGUUGUUUGCUACAUUGAACUGGGUUUAUGGUACGAGCAGAAUAUGUCACUUUGAGGACAUUAUGCUCCGAGGAAGUUACCGAUUGAAUUCAAAUUGCCACCGGCUAUGAAUCAGCCACCAGAGCGAAGCUUCUCUUUAAAGAAAUCUCUGUUUUUCAGACGAUAUGUAAGAAGCCCUAAAAACGAAUUCACGACAGUUCCAUUUAUAGGAUGCGAUGCAUAUGCAAAUUGCGAAUUCGUCAGGUUUAUAGCAACGAUUGGACAAAGAACGACGGGUGCCUACCCUAGGCGUCGCAGCCACGCAGAUCACAGCUUUAGAAGGGAGUUGUAGAACCCUGGCAAUUGAAAUCGCAAGACGUCAGGGCCACUGACCCGUACACCAUACGGAUGAGGGCUCAAUUUAUGGCACCCUUAAGCUUUGACGACUGCUUUUCCUUUCCAUGGCCGAAAGUGACGAAGGACCAGACGGUCGUCCCGGGUGUUCGAACUUGGCCUUUUCUUACAAAUACUUUAUGGCUUUCGAGAUGCACUUCUGCAAGAUCGUUGUCUCAUAUGGAAAGAGCAGAUUUAAAUAGUAUCCAAUUUGUACAAUGUUAAAUGGAUAUAAAUCGAUGGAUGUAAAUAAAGAAUGAUACAAAAAUGAUAA